UUAAUUCAUUUUUACAGUCUUGUGUGUGUGUCUGUGCAGGUACAUGUUAGUGUGUAUGAGUGCACACAACCUUGAGUGCCAUGGAGGAGGUCAAAGGACAAUCUUGAGUGUCUGGGGAGCUCAUUGAUAGAAGAUUUGAAAGUAUCUCAUGCAACCAAGAGAAAUGCAUAGAGCAAAGAAGAAUGAGUUGAGUCAAAUAAGAAGACAGCCUCAAUAACCAUGAUGCAGAAUUAUUUGGUCAUACUAAGCCAACAGUAUAGACAAGUUUACUUUGAAGGUACAAUUGCCAGAUCAUUCUUUAGGGUUGGAAAUGCACCGAAAAGAGCAAGAAUUCAUUCUAGAUUUCUAAACAAGCUAUGCCUCAACCAUCCACUUAUAAGUGUCAGAAGUACUCCAUUUUAACUGUUCUAUUUGUCCUUAUGUUUUUGUACAUGUAGUACAUGGGAUCACUAUCAUGUAAGAGAUAUUGUGAAAACAAUAGAGAAAAGCAUAAGCACAUUCAAUAAAUCUUCAAUGUCUGCUGUGUGAAA
Non-coding RNA from Peromyscus maniculatus bairdii (prairie deer mouse), 530 nucleotides. The record is from RefSeq and is a predicted model, not a curated record. Lineage: Eukaryota; Metazoa; Chordata; Mammalia; Rodentia; Cricetidae.